UACGAAGGGAGCUAGCGUUGUUCGGAAUCACUGGGCGUAAAGCGCACGUAGGCGGGUCGUUAAGUCGGGGGUGAAAUCCUGGAGCUCAACUCCAGAACUGCCUUCGAUACUGGCGACCUUGAGUCCGGGAGAGGUGAGUGGAACUCCGAGUGUAGAGGUGAAAUUCGUAGAUAUUCGGAAGAACACCAGUGGCGAAGGCGGCUCACUGGCCCGGUACUGACGCUGAGGUGCGAAAGCGUGGGGAGCGAACAGG
RNAcentral lists this ribosomal RNA (253 nucleotides) under uncultured bacterium. RNAcentral describes it as "partial 16S ribosomal RNA". It matches the Rfam family "Bacterial small subunit ribosomal RNA", at positions 524 to 776 of the family's 1533-position model. The record is from RNAcentral.